CGGGGUUUUACCAUAUUGGCCAGGCUGGUCUCGAGCUCCUGACCUCAAGCUGUCCACCCUCCUUGGCCUCCCAAAGUGCUGGGAUUACAGAUGUGAGCCACCGCACCCAGCCUGAGGUAGAUUUUAUAUUUGUCAUUGCCCAGCAUCAAGCGUCAGGCAGGGAGGCAGAAAGAGCACCUGUAUUACAUUUAAGCGAAUCCAAGUUUGAAUCUUGCAUUCUGUCACUUCCUAACUGUGCAACCUAGAGCAAGUUCCCUAAUGUUUGUCUCUUCCUUCCUUAUCUGUGAUUUGAAGUGCUGACUCAUCUGUAGGCACUAAAUAAAUGGCAGGCAGGUGUUAUCUGUAUGGUGUCAAGGAGUUCCUUAAACCUCUCUGAGCAUGUUUCUUCCUCUGUAAAAUGGAAUAACAGCCCCAAUAUCAAAGGGAGAGGCUGAAGCAAAGUAUAUGACGUAAAGAGUUUAUUUGAGCCAGGAUAAGGAAGAUUCAGACAUCAGUCACCUUGGAUAUGAGCUCCACUUGGCCUUUAUUACAGGCAGAUUUUUAAAGGCAAAAAAGGAGGGGGACAAGGAUUGGACUGAUACAAAGUUCUGCCGCGGAUUCUCAUUGAUUUACAGAAAUAACAUUGAUUAGUGAUUGGCUACCCAUUGUUAAGCCUUAGAGUGUGGGAUGUUGUGUCCAGUGAGGUGUUAUUAGGUUAAUUCAUAGCUACUUGUGGCAAUAGCAGGCAGUUUUGACAGAUGAAUACAUAGCUCUAAAGAGGGAGAAUAAGAUGUGAUUGCCGUUUGAAUGCUUCUCUGGGCCUAAUAAUUUGAAAGAGCCCACAUUCCUCGAUAAAAGUUCUUUUCUUUCCUUGGGAUUAAGUUAGAUGAUAAAUUUACAAUGUUUAGCAUGCCGAUUUAUAUGUAUUAAGUAUUCAUAAAGUGUUAUUCCAUGUGCUGAGCGAGGGGAACACCCUCCCACGUGCUCCCAUGAGCCCUAUUUCUGGCAGAUGUAAAGAUUUUUUUUAAAUGGCUUUUUUUGGCCACAUCUAGGAAGUAAGAGGGAAAAUAAAGAGAAGUGAGAAACAGCUUAGUCCAUGAAAAUGGUAAUAAUGGUAGUAAUGAUGGUGAUGAGAAUGCUGCAGUUUUCUUCUGUAUGAUUUUUUUUUUUUUGAGACAGAGUCUCACUCUUGUCACCCGGGCUGGAGUGCAAUGGCACUAUCUCAGCUCACUGCAACCUUCACCUCCCGGGUUCAAGUGAUUCUCCUGCCUUAGCCUCCGGAGUAGCUGGGAUUACAGCCACGCACCACCACUCCUGGUUAAUUUUUAUAUUUAUAGUAGAGAUGGGGAUUCACCAUGUUGGCCAGGCUGGUCUCGAACUCCUGACCAGGUGUCAGGUGAUCCACCUGCCUCAGACUCCCGAAGCAUUGGGAUUACAGGCAUGAGCCAGUACGAUGUGUUUUUUUGUUUGUUUGUUUGUUUUUUUAUACUUUAAGUUCUAGGGUACAUGUGCACAAUGUGCAGGUUUGUUACAUAUGUAUACAUGCGCCAUGUUGGUGUGCUGUACCCAUUAACUCGUCAUUUACAUUAGGUGUAUCUCCUAAUGCUAUCCCUCCCCCCUCCCCCCACCCCAUGACAGGCCCCAGUGUGUGAUGUUUCCCUUCCUGUGUCCAAAUGUUCUCAUUGUUCAAUUCCCAUCUAUGAGUGAGAACAUGCGGUGUUUGGUUUUUUGUCCUUGCGAUAGUUUGCUGAGAAUGAUGGUUUCCAGCUUCAUCCAUGUCCCUACAAAGGACCUGAACUCAUCUUUUUUAUGGCUGCAUAGUAUUCCAUGGUGUAUAUGUGCCACAUUUUCUUAAUCCAGUCUAUCAUUGAUGGACAUUUGGGUUAGUUCCAAGUCUUUGCUAUUGUGAAUAGUGCCACAAUAAACAUACGUGUGCAUGUGUCUUUAUAGCAGCAUGAUUUAUAAUCCUUUGGGUAUAUACCCAGUAAUGGGAUGGCUGGGUCAAAUGGUAUUUCUAGUUCUAGAUCCUUGAGGAAUCACCACACUGUCUUCCACAAUGGUUGAACUAGCUUUUAUGCAUUGCAAAGUGACUACACAAAGUGACCUAUCCCUUGUCUCCUUUAUCUCUCUAGCAACCCUCCAGUUAUUAGGGCAGCUACUACUCUCAUCUUCCAUAUAAGAAGUGGGAACACUUUCAUGGAUGUUCUGGGACUCACAGUCCAAGUCCUGGUUCUUAGAGAGUUGGAUCCAGAUCCUGUGUCUUGUAGGUAUAUAGGUAUAUGUUUAUGCAUUGAAAUGAAAUAUGUACAACUAGGUCCUUCCCCGUCUCCCCUAUAAAGCCUAUAAAGUCUUCUAUGAAACAAAGUUAAUUCCAUUCUCAGACAGAGGCUCCCAGAAUCCAGUGUUUUGGUUGGUCUCCGCUACAAAUGCUUUUUCUGAUAUUUGUGUGUUUGCAAGUCCCUCUCUGAGACUUUCUAAAAUUUGAUUGUUAAUUGGCUGUUAUAUGCAUGAAGUUCUGGACUUGGUGUCCCAAGCUCUUUAUAGAUUUACUUUUUUUCUCCCCCUCCUGCCAUUAAAUAAUCACCCUUGAGCUUCUCUCAACUUACUCUCCAUCAAUAACCAUUGUAUUCGUUCCAUUACAGCCCUCCUAAAUACAAAACAAUGACGACAACAACAAACCAUUCAAACUUCCAACCAACUUCCCCUGAAGGCACAGAAGGUGAGACCUAAGGGAAAAGAAAUCCACCCUCUUUAACAUCAGCUAACAGCAUAGGAGUAAAUAGUUUUAAAGAAGGUGAAAGCUCUUCCCUUUUCCUAACCUAGCUUGGCCUUGAUUCUAUUAAUACCAAGCCUGUGUGAA
Molecule: long non-coding RNA, 2839 nt
Filed under: Homo sapiens (human)
Lineage: Eukaryota; Metazoa; Chordata; Mammalia; Primates; Hominidae
Description: HSALNT0228551
Source: RNAcentral